GUCCCUUUAGAGAUUAACUUGUAAUAGGUUGCAAAGGCUCUUCCUUAUUCCGGCAGCACAGUGCACACUGAUUGUGUGUGGUACAUGAAUCCCGGCCUCAGAAGUAUGAAGAGGAAUGAGGACCCAUCUUUGACAGCCUUAGAUUCUAGCUUCAGAGGUAAGACACAAAAAAUACAAAUAAAACAUUUCUUUCAGGACAAGAUUAUCUGUAAAUCAGAUAAGAAGGAUUCUCAAAGUAAAAGAUAUCUUAGUCGCUUACAUCAGAUGUAUUCCACUUCGCUCGCCAACAUGGAGUUCUCCAGGAGCCUGCUGGAGGCGAGCCGCCGGGGUGCAGACGUGGGCGCGGACGGCAGAGCCGGCGGUCUGGUCAGUGUCGUCUGGGUCUGGCAGGCGCACAGGGAGGCUCUGUCCCCAUCUGGGUGGGGCGGGUGGGCAGGAGCCACCACUGCGCAGUACCCCCCGCUCCUCCCACUGCUGCAGGGCAGCGAUUGUGCGGUCAAAGUCCUGACGCACCCAGGAGGGCUGCCUGGAAGCAGCGGCCACCGUUAAUAACCUAGGAUGAAGGCAUGUCCAUCUGCAUUCUGGGUCUUGAUGCGGUGACCAGAGGACAGAGACGUUAGUUCUGGUUUUAGAGACACAGAUCUAACCUUGACUCUAAUUUAAAACCAACGCAAAGCCAUAACCGCACCUGCCUUUCUGCUCUGAGUUUUCUGCCUCUCUUCUCCACCCACUUUCACGACCCAGCAAAGCUCCCCGCCCCUCAGUGGGCAAUCAUAGACAAGAUGAACUCGGGGACUUAAGUGGUAUUUAUUAUCAUUUUUUAUUAAUAGCAAUAAGGUACUAUCUUCCAAAAUAUCAAAGAGAGUAUAAUGAAAAUAUGAAUACAUAUUUUAGUGAUUAUUGCUAGUUCAACUGUAUCAAGAUCUGUUUUAAAAGUUAUUUCUCACAUUGUGAAUGAAAUGAAAACUGUAACCACAAAAAUGAUGCUUGCUUCCCGAAGUGGGACCCCGCGUUCCUCAGUGGACAUGGGCAGCACCAGGUGCGGCCCCCGGAGAGGCGGCCUGAGGGUGCCCACUGGGCCGCUGGUCGUCAGCGCGAAGCCCGGCCUCCUCUCAUCUUCCUGAGAUGCGACAGCCUGCCUGGCAGGAAGAAAGAUUCCAAUGAGAAGGCAAGAGGACACGCAGCAGCCCUGGGUGGCAUGUAAGUGGUCUAGAAAAAUGCCAGAAAUGAGAAAUACUCCAAAGAAAACAAUAAAUAAACAGAACAACCCCCGCUAUUUAAAAAA
This 1285-nucleotide long non-coding RNA is filed under the name Bos indicus x Bos taurus (hybrid cattle). Its description in RNAcentral is "lncRNA (ENSBIXG00005013347.1)". Lineage: Eukaryota; Metazoa; Chordata; Mammalia; Artiodactyla; Bovidae. The record is from RNAcentral.